Pieris napi is the source of this 308-nucleotide long non-coding RNA. RefSeq lists it as uncharacterized. NCBI's taxonomy places the organism in Eukaryota, Metazoa, Arthropoda, Insecta, Lepidoptera, Pieridae. The transcript is spliced from 3 exons. The record is from RefSeq and is a predicted model, not a curated record.
GUUAAAUUUUAAGACAAAUCCGUCAUAUGACACAAAGAAAACGUAAGUACGUAACCUUAGAUGAGCGCCAAAUUGCGACACACACAAAAAACCGAGUGGCUGACGAGCGGCAUUACCACUGAUCCACAAGCCCAAUCGAAAUACUGCUUAUGUCGGGAGGUGCUCAGUAAAUGGAGAGACAUAAAACGCCGGUUGAGUGCGUUCUAUGUGAAUGUGAUAUUUGAAUUAUCAACACAUUUCUAAUUUUGAUCCGAUUCGCCCUGUGAUCCGAUUCGCCUCGGUCUACCCUACUAUCAUCUUAUCAGUAU